RNAcentral lists this ribosomal RNA (372 nucleotides) under Triticum aestivum (bread wheat). RNAcentral describes it as "partial small subunit ribosomal RNA". The record is from RNAcentral. Lineage: Eukaryota; Viridiplantae; Streptophyta; Magnoliopsida; Poales; Poaceae.
CAAGUGGGUGUGAUCCUUAAACUUGAUUUUGAAAAGGCCUAUGACAAAGUUAAUUGGGAUUUUUUGCUUGACUGCCAUGAGAAGCGUGGGUUUAACUCUAAGUGGUGUGGGUGGGUCUCUCAAAUCCUUAAGAACGGCACGGUGAGUGUCAAGAUUAACGAUGAGAUCGGCCCUUAUAUACAAAGUGCUAAGGGGGUACGGCAGGGUGACCCUCAUUCCCCCUUUCUAUUCAAUAUGGCGGCUGAAUGUCUGACUAAAAUGGUGCUUUCAGCACAAAAAACGGCCUCAUUAAGGGUUUGGCGGCUGACCUUAUUGACGGAGGUGUUGGUAUCCUCCAAUAUGCGGAUGAUACGGUGGUAUGUUUUGAACAUG